CACCGCGGUUAUACGAGGGGCCCAAGUUGAUAGCCACCGGCGUAAAGAGUGGUUAGGAUAAAUAAAAUACUAAAGCCGAACGCCCUCAGAGCUGUUAUACGCCCCCGAAGGUAAGAAGAUCAAUCACGAAAGUGGCUUUAUAAUGACUGAACCCACGAAAGCUAUGGCA
This 169-nucleotide ribosomal RNA is filed under the name Malakichthys elegans. RNAcentral's name for it is "partial 12S rRNA". The record is from RNAcentral. RNAcentral also lists the same sequence under 1 other name. Lineage: Eukaryota; Metazoa; Chordata; Actinopteri; Acropomatiformes; Malakichthyidae.